RNAcentral lists this transfer RNA (64 nucleotides) under Lissoclinum patella. RNAcentral describes it as "tRNA-Cys". The record is from RNAcentral. Lineage: Eukaryota; Metazoa; Chordata; Ascidiacea; Aplousobranchia; Didemnidae.
UAUUUAAUUGUUUCAGUGAUUUUUUGCAAAAAAAUCCUUUUUAAAACAAUUUUUGAUUAUAUAU